UACGAAGGGGGCUAGCGUUGUUCGGAAUUACUGGGCGUAAAGCGCGCGCAGGCGGUCUUCCAAGUCAGUGGUGAAAGCCCGGAGCUCAACUCCGGAACUACCAUUGAAACUGUUGGACUUGAGUAUGAGAGAGGUGAGUGGAAUUCCCAGUGUAGAGGUGAAAUUCGUAGAUAUUGGGAAGAACACCGGUGGCGAAAGCGCGCGACUGGACCUGAACUGACACUGAGGGACGAAAGCUAGGGGAGCGAAAGGG
RNAcentral lists this ribosomal RNA (253 nucleotides) under uncultured bacterium. RNAcentral's name for it is "partial 16S ribosomal RNA". It matches the Rfam family "Bacterial small subunit ribosomal RNA", at positions 524 to 776 of the family's 1533-position model. The record is from RNAcentral.